This 589-nucleotide ribosomal RNA is filed under the name Penicillium sp. Kyoto-02. Its description in RNAcentral is "LSU rRNA". It matches the Rfam family "Eukaryotic large subunit ribosomal RNA", at positions 37 to 642 of the family's 3401-position model. The record is from RNAcentral. Lineage: Eukaryota; Fungi; Ascomycota; Eurotiomycetes; Eurotiales; Aspergillaceae.
UGCAUAAUCAAUAAGCGGAGGAAAAGAAACCAACAGGGAUUGCCUCAGUAACGGCGAGUGAAGCGGCAAGAGCUCAAAUUUGAAAGCUGGCCCCCUCGGGGUCCGCAUUGUAAUUUGCAGAGGAUGCUUCGGGAGCGGCCCCCAUCUAAGUGCCCUGGAACGGGCCGUCAUAGAGGGUGAGAAUCCCGUCUGGGAUGGGGUGCCCGCGCCCGUGUGAAGCUCCUUCGACGAGUCGAGUUGUUUGGGAAUGCAGCUCUAAAUGGGUGGUAAAUUUCAUCUAAAGCUAAAUACUGGCCGGAGACCGAUAGCGCACAAGUAGAGUGAUCGAAAGAUGAAAAGCACUUUGAAAAGAGAGUUAAACAGCACGUGAAAUUGUUGAAAGGGAAGCGCUUGCGACCAGACUCGCCUACGGGGUUCAGCCGGCAUUCGUGCCGGUGUACUUCCCCGCGGGCGGGCCAGCGUCGGUUUGGGCGGCCGGUCAAAGGCCCUCGGAAUGUAACGCCCCCCGGGGCGUCUUAUAGCCGAGGGUGCCAUGCGGCCAGCCCGGACCGAGGAACGCGCUCGGCCGGACGCUGCAUAAGGGCUAACG